RNAcentral lists this ribosomal RNA (468 nucleotides) under uncultured Gaiellales bacterium. RNAcentral describes it as "bacterial SSU rRNA". It matches the Rfam family "Bacterial small subunit ribosomal RNA", at positions 335 to 797 of the family's 1533-position model. The record is from RNAcentral. Lineage: Bacteria; Bacillati; Actinomycetota; Thermoleophilia; Gaiellales.
UGCCUACGGGUGGCAGCAGUGGGGAAUCUUGCGCAAUGGGCGAAAGCCUGACGCAGCAACGCCGCGUGAGGGAUGACGGCCUUCGGGUUGUAAACCUCUUUCAGGAGGGACGAAGCUUCCGGGGUUAAUAGCCUACGGGGUGACGGUACCUCCAGAAGAAGCCCCGGCUAACUACGUGCCAGCAGCCGCGGUAAUACGUAGGGGGCAAGCGUUGUCCGGAAUCAUUGGGCGUAAAGCGCGUGUAGGCGGCUUGGUAAGUCUGGUGUGAAAACUUGGGGCUUAACCCCAGGCCUGCACUGGAUACUGCCUGGCUAGAGUCCGGGAGGGGAGAGCGGAAUUCCCAGUGUAGCGGUGAAAUGCGCAGAUAUUGGGAAGAACACCGGUGGCGAAGGCGGCUCUCUGGAACGGUACUGACGCUGAGACGCGAAAGCGUGGGGAGCGAACAGGAUUAGAUACCCUAGUAGUCGC